This 490-nucleotide ribosomal RNA is filed under the name uncultured bacterium. Its description in RNAcentral is "bacterial SSU rRNA". It matches the Rfam family "Bacterial small subunit ribosomal RNA", at positions 66 to 543 of the family's 1533-position model. The record is from RNAcentral.
GCGAGAACCAGUCCUUCGGGACUGGGGAAAGCGGCGAACGGGUGAGUAACACGUGGGUAAUCUGCCCUCGGCACUGGGAUAGCCCGGGGAAACCCGGAUUAAUACCGGAUAGCCUUUCGAGCCUUCGGGCUCGUCAGAAAAGGUGGCUUCGGCUUCCGGCUGAGGAUGAGCCCGCGGCGGAUUAGCUUGUUGGUGAGGUAAUGGCUCACCAAGGCUCCGAUCUGUAGCUGGUCUGAGAGGACGAUCAGCCACACUGGGACUGAGACACGGCCCAGACUCCUACGGGAGGCAGCAGUAGGGAAUCUUGCGCAAUGGGCGAAAGCCUGACGCAGCGACGCCGCGUGCGGGAAGAAGGCCUUCGGGUUGUAAACCGCUUUCAGGAGGGACGAAGCCACUCGGGUUAAUAGCCCAGAGGGUGACGGUACCUCCAGAAGAAGCCCCGGCUAACUACGUGCCAGCAGCCGCGGUAAUACGUAGGGGGCAAGCGUUG